This 301-nucleotide ribosomal RNA is filed under the name uncultured bacterium. RNAcentral describes it as "partial 16S ribosomal RNA". It matches the Rfam family "Bacterial small subunit ribosomal RNA", at positions 509 to 807 of the family's 1533-position model. The record is from RNAcentral.
CAGCCGCCACGGUAAUACAGAGGGUGCGAGCGUUAAUCGGAUUUACUGGGAGUAAAGCGUGCGUAGGCGGCUAAUUGAGUCGGAUGUGAAAUCCCCGAGCUUAACUUGGGAAUUGCAUUCGAUACUGGUUAGCUAGAGUGUGGGAGAGGAUGGUAGAAUUCCAGGUGUAGCGGUGAAAUGCGUAGAGAUCUGGAGGAAUACCGAUGGCGAAGGCAGCCAUCUGGCCUAACACUGACGCUGAGGUACGAAAGCAUGGGGAGCAAACAGGAUUAGAUACCCCGGUAGUCCCUGUCUCUUAUAC